This is a non-coding RNA of Ciona intestinalis (vase tunicate), 651 nucleotides long. The record is from RefSeq and is a predicted model, not a curated record. Lineage: Eukaryota; Metazoa; Chordata; Ascidiacea; Phlebobranchia; Cionidae.
AAUCAGAAACACAACAAGACAUAGGUAUAGGGUUAUUUAUCGUCGUUUUCAAGUCAUACGUUCUCUACAAUGGCGUCAGAUGUGGACAGAACGCGUAACUCGUGCUCGAUCUUAUCAAAUGAGGGUCUACAGUACGGUUCCCAAAGCCAACAUCGUUGCAUUAAGGAAUACCUAAAAAGGUCCUCCGGAUCAACUCCUGGAUGCGGGGAGCAACCAAGAGUAACCAUCUCAUAAAGAAGAUUUCCAAACGACCAUCUGAGACAAAAAGGGCAUGAACAACCAGCAGAAACAGAUGGUGGUUCAUAAUCUUCACAUAUACCUUCCAAUACACACGGGUUGUAUAAAGGACCACACGCGUUUAAUUCAGUACAACCGUCACCAAUAGGAUCUAAAAUGCAAGAUGUAAAGUUGUAACAGAAAUCUGAGCCAUGUCCCAUCUUUUGAUUGAUUAUUUCACUGAAAGAAAAAAGUUUUUUCUUACGAUUCUUGUGUAAAGAAAUACAGUCACGAUCUGGCGCUAAAGUUCACAGUUACAAAUGUAAUAAGUUCCGUGAAUCGUGCCCUGAUCUGGUGCUCAUAUAGUAGAACGUUGUUUGUAUAAUACAGUUAGGAUCUGGUGCUAUGAAAUAUGUAAUAGACAAAAUUAAGACC